UCUGCAACCCGACUCCAUGAAGCUGGAUUCGCUAGUAAUCGCGCAUCAGCCACGGCGCGGUGAAUACGUUCCCGGGCCUUGUACACACCGCCCGUCAAGCCAUGGGGAGCCGGGGGUGCCUGAAGGCCGUGACCGCGAGGAGCGGCCUAGGGUAAAACUGGUGACUGGGGCUAAGUCGUAACAAGGUAAC
Molecule: ribosomal RNA, 190 nt
Filed under: uncultured bacterium
Lineage: Bacteria
Description: partial 16S ribosomal RNA
Rfam family: Bacterial small subunit ribosomal RNA
Source: RNAcentral